Molecule: ribosomal RNA, 274 nt
Filed under: uncultured bacterium
Lineage: Bacteria
Description: partial 16S ribosomal RNA
Rfam family: Bacterial small subunit ribosomal RNA
Source: RNAcentral
AUACGGAGGGUGCGAGCGUUAAUCGGAAUUACUGGGCGUAAAGGGCGCGUAGGCGGCUAAAUCAGUCAGAUGUGAAAGCCCUGGGCUUAACCUGGGAAUGGCAUUUGAUACUGUUUAGCUAGAGUUUGGUAGAGGGGAGUGGAAUUUCCGGUGUAGCGGUGAAAUGCGUAGAGAUCGGAAGGAACAUCAGUGGCGAAGGCGGCUCUCUGGACUAAAACUGACGCUGAGGUGCGAAAGCGUGGGUAGCAAACAGGAUUAGAAACCCCGGUAGUCC